This 403-nucleotide ribosomal RNA is filed under the name uncultured bacterium. Its description in RNAcentral is "partial 16S ribosomal RNA". It matches the Rfam family "Bacterial small subunit ribosomal RNA", at positions 30 to 526 of the family's 1533-position model. The record is from RNAcentral.
AUUGAACGCUGGCGGCAGGCCUAACACAUGCAAGUCGAGCGAGCGGCGGACGGGUGAGUAAUGUAUGGGGACUGCCCGCUAGAGGGGGAUAACUACUGGAAACGGUGGCUACUACCGCAUACUAUCGGAUAACCCAUAUGGGAUUAGCUAGUAGGUGGGGUAACGGCUCACCUAGGCGACGAUCUCUAGCUGGUCUGAGAGGAUGAUCAGCCACAAUGGGACAGAGAAACGGCCGAGACUCCUACGGAGGCAGCAAGGGGGAAUAUUGAACACUGGGCGCAAGCCUGAUGAAGCCAUGCCGCGUGUAUGAAGAAGGCCUUAGGGUUGUAAAGUACUUUCAGCGGGGAGGCGUUACCCGCAGAAGAAGCACCGGCUAACUCCGUGCCAGCAGCCGCGGUAAUUC